GUGCUUGCUUCGGCAGCAUAUAUACCAAAAUUAGAACGAUGUAGAGAAGAUGAGCAUGGGCCCUGCAUGAGGAUGAUACGCAGAUUCAUGAAGCUUUCCAUAUUUUU
Vulpes vulpes (red fox) is the source of this 107-nucleotide small nuclear RNA. The record is from Ensembl. NCBI's taxonomy places the organism in Eukaryota, Metazoa, Chordata, Mammalia, Carnivora, Canidae.